AACGAACGCUGGCGGCAUGCCUAACACAUGCAAGUCGAACGAGACCUUCGGGUCUAGUGGCGCACGGGUGCGUAACGCGUGGGAACCUGCCCUUAGGUUCGGAAUAACUCUCCGAAAGGGGUGCUAAUACCGGAUAAUGUCUUCGGACCAAAGAUUUAUCGCCUUUGGAUGGGCCCGCGUUGGAUUAGCUUGUUGGUAGGGUAAAAGCCUACUAAGGCGACGAUCCAUAGCUGGUCUGAGAGGAUGAUCAGCCACACUGGGACUGAGACACGGCCCAGACUCCUACGGGAGGCAGCAGUGGGGAAUAUUGGACAAUGGGCGAAAGCCUGAUCCAGCAAUGCCGCGUGAGUGAUGAAGGCCUUAGGGUUGUAAAGCUCUUUUACCCGGGAUGAUAAUGACAGUACCGGGAGAAUAAGCUCCGGCUAACUCCGUG
This 433-nucleotide ribosomal RNA is filed under the name uncultured bacterium. Its description in RNAcentral is "partial 16S ribosomal RNA". It matches the Rfam family "Bacterial small subunit ribosomal RNA", at positions 29 to 507 of the family's 1533-position model. The record is from RNAcentral.